This 212-nucleotide unclassified non-coding RNA is filed under the name Hevea brasiliensis (rubber tree). Lineage: Eukaryota; Viridiplantae; Streptophyta; Magnoliopsida; Malpighiales; Euphorbiaceae. The record is from RNAcentral.
GAAUAAGUGUAGCUGAAGAGAAAAAUAGUAACCCCUAAUGGGCCAUAAACAUAUGGGCUUCAAUAGAAUUGGGUUCUCUAAAUAGGAGGGAUCCAAGCCAACAUGCUUUUGGCUCUGCAAGGGGAGGACCCUAGGGUUGCUUAGUACUCUGGGAUGGCAGUUCCGAAUUCUACUAGCCCAUCAAAUGGAAAACAACUACCUUGAUCUGCUGC